RNAcentral lists this ribosomal RNA (458 nucleotides) under uncultured bacterium. Its description in RNAcentral is "partial 16S ribosomal RNA". It matches the Rfam family "Bacterial small subunit ribosomal RNA", at positions 339 to 795 of the family's 1533-position model. The record is from RNAcentral.
CUACGGGUGGCAGCAGUGAGGAAUAUUGGUCAACGGACGAGAGUCUGAACCAGCCAAGUAGCGUGAAGGAUGACUGCCCUAUGGGUUGUAAACUUCUUUUAUAUGGGAAUAAAAUGUUCCACGUGUGGGAUUUUGUAUGUACCAUAUGAAUAAGGAUCGGCUAACUCCGUGCCAGCAGCCGCGGUAAUACGGAGGAUCCGAGCGUUAUCCGGAUUUAUUGGGUUAAAAGGGUGCGCAGGCGGAGGCACAAGUCAGCGGUAAAAUCGCGGGGCUCAACCCCGCUCCGCCGUUGAAACUGUGUCCCUUGAGUGCGCGAAGGGUAGGCGGAAUGCGUGGUGUAGCGGUGAAAUGCAUAGCUAUCACGCAGAACUCCGAUCGCGAAGGCAGCCUACCGGCGCGCAACUGACGCUCAUGCACGAAAGCGUGGGUAUCGAACAGGAUUAGAUACCCCUGUAGUC